GCCUGCAACAAAGCAUGUCCCCCGAAAGGGGAAACCGGUUUUGGGGCAAGGACAUGCGUGAAAAAGAUUAAAGCGUGUCGUUUGAAUGUGACAAAGCGCGACACGCUUUAGAACAGAUGGGCAGUCGUUCCGUUCCGCCCCCUGCAUGCGAGAUCAAUAUUUUCCCGG
Molecule: non-coding RNA, 168 nt
Filed under: Brucella pecoris
Lineage: Bacteria; Pseudomonadati; Pseudomonadota; Alphaproteobacteria; Hyphomicrobiales; Brucellaceae
Description: Ochrobactrum pecoris sRNA CI27
Rfam family: Brucella sRNA CI27
Source: RNAcentral